Molecule: ribosomal RNA, 391 nt
Filed under: uncultured bacterium
Lineage: Bacteria
Description: bacterial SSU rRNA
Rfam family: Bacterial small subunit ribosomal RNA
Source: RNAcentral
ACAUGCAGUCGAACGGUAACAGGAAGAAGCUUGCUUCUUUGCUGACGAGUGGCGGACGGGUGAGUAAUGUCUGGGAAACUGCCUGAUGGAGGGGGAUAACUACUGGAAACGGUAGCUAAUACCGCAUAACGUCGCAAGACCAAAAAGGGGGACCUUCGGGCCUCUUGCCAUCGGAUGUGCCCAGAUGGGAUUAGCUAGUAGGUGGGGUAACGGCUCACCUAGGCGACGAUCCCUAGCUGGUCUGAGAGGAUGACCAGCCACACUGGAACUGAGACACGGUCCAGACUCCUACGGGAGGCAGCAGUGGGGAAUAUUGCACAAUGGGCGCAAGCCUGAUGCAGCCAUGCCGCGUGUAUGAACAAAGCCUUCGGGUUGUAAAGUACUUUCAGCG